This 329-nucleotide ribosomal RNA is filed under the name uncultured bacterium. RNAcentral's name for it is "bacterial SSU rRNA". It matches the Rfam family "Bacterial small subunit ribosomal RNA", at positions 28 to 334 of the family's 1533-position model. The record is from RNAcentral.
GACAAACGCUCGGCGGCGGUGCAUAACACGUGCAAGUCGAACGAGAAUCCAGGAGCGCUUACGCCUUCGGGUGGAGCGCUGUGGAGGACAGUGGCGAACGGGUGAGUAACGCGUAAGAAACCUGCCUUGUACAGAGGGAUAGCAGCUGGAAACGGCUAUUAAUACCUCAUGAAGCCGAUCCAUCGCAUGAGGGAACGGCCAAAGAUUUAUCGGUAUGAGAUGGACUUGCGUCUGAUUAGCUAGUUGGUGAGAUAAAAGCCCAUCAAGGCAACGAUCAGUAGCCGGCUUGAGAGAGUGUACGGCCACAUUGGGACUGAGACACGGCCCAA